UACGGAGGGUGCAAGCGUUAAUCGGAAUUACUGGGCGUAAAGCGCACGCAGGCGGUUAAUUAAGUUGGGUGUGAAAGCCCCGGGCUCAACCUGGGAAUUGCAUUCAAGACUGGUUAGCUAGAGUCUCGUAGAGGGGGGUAGAAUUCCAUGUGUAGCGGUGAAAUGCGUAGAGAUAUGGAGGAAUACCGAUGGCGAAGGCAGCCAUCUGGCCUAAUACUGACACUGAGGUGCGAAAGCAUGGGGAGCAAACAGG
This 253-nucleotide ribosomal RNA is filed under the name uncultured bacterium. RNAcentral's name for it is "partial 16S ribosomal RNA". It matches the Rfam family "Bacterial small subunit ribosomal RNA", at positions 524 to 776 of the family's 1533-position model. The record is from RNAcentral.